GCUAAUGGGAGCAUUGAAAAAUGGUGAAAUACUUAACUAACAGUAUAUGGCUCUCUUUGCUUCUUCUGUGUUACCUCUUUCUCUGUUAAAGUCAAACUCAGAUCCCUAUCGUCUCUUCUCCACCAAGAAAGGGUUCAAUUUGGGAUUCCAGAAGCUUAAAACCAGAAGAUUACACAGGACUAAAGUGGUUGUACAUUUUGCAAUGUUUUCAGAAAAUCUGCUAAUCGGAGAUUUAAUCGCCACUACAUUAUCCGGUGGUAUUGCCCUUUCCAUACUUCGAUUUUGGGAAGAAACAGCCAAGAGAGGGGUUUUCGAUCAGAAAACGAACAGAAAGCUUGUUCAUAUUAGCAUUGGGCUAGUCUUCAUGCUCUGCUGGCCAAUGUUCAGUUCUGGUCAACAAGGAGCCAUUCUAGCAGCUUUUAUCCCUGGUCUUAACAUAAUAAAAAUGUUUCUUUUGGGAUUAGGAAUAUGGAAAGAUGAUGCAACUGUCAAGUCUAUGAGCCGAUUUGGAGACCACAGGGAGCUUCUCAAGGGACCAUUGUACUAUGCCCUUUCAAUCACUUGUGCUUGUGCUAUAUAUUGGAGAUAUUCACCUAUUUCAAUUGGACUAAUUUGCAACCUUUGUGCUGGUGAUGGUAUUGCUGACAUUGUUGGCCGGAGGUUCGGAAAACAGAAACUCCCAUAUAAUAAAAACAAAUCAUUUGCUGGUAGUAUUGCAAUGGCAGCUGCCGGUCUUUUAGCAUCCAUUGGAUUCUUGCACUAUUUCUCCUUGUUCGGGUAUAUUCAGGUGAACUCCAAGACGGUCUUAGGGUUCUUGUUUAUGUCUCUUGCUGCAGCGCUGGUUGAAUCCCAUCCUCUAAGCAGUGAACUCGAUGAUAACUUAACAGUUCCCUUAACCUCAGUGCUGGUUGGCAGUCUUGUUUUAUGAUACCAG
This 934-nucleotide unclassified non-coding RNA is filed under the name Hevea brasiliensis (rubber tree). Lineage: Eukaryota; Viridiplantae; Streptophyta; Magnoliopsida; Malpighiales; Euphorbiaceae. The record is from RNAcentral.